AAUGAAAAUUGAUAGGGAAGAUAAUGCUAAUAAUAAUGGUAAUUCCAUACUCCUAAAAGAAAGAUUACUAGUAUUGGGAUCACCCUUCAUCAAGUGGAUGCUCACCUUCUAAGGAGUGUGUCAAAAACACCCUCGCCCAUGUGAAGUGAUGGAGGGUGCCAUGUGAAGCACUCCAGAGAUAACAGUGGUGACAGCACCAUGUUCUUCAGUGAUGUUGGGCAGUGAUGGAGGGUGCCAUGUGAAGCUCUCCACAGAUAACAGUGGUGACAGCAUCAUGUUCUUCAGUGAUGUUGGGCAGUGAUGGAGGGUGCCAUGUGAAGCUCUCCAGAGAUAACAGUGGUGACAGCACCAUGUUCUUCAGUGAUGUUGGGCAGUGAUGGAGGGUGCCAUGUGAAGCUCUCCACAGAUAACAGUGGUGACAGCACCAUGUUCUUCAGUGAUGGCAGGCAGUGAUGGAGGGUGCCAUGUGAAGCUCUCCACAGAUAACAGUGGUGACAGCAUCAUGUUCUUCAGUGAUGUUGGGCAGUGAUGGAGGGUGCCAUGUGAAGCUCUCCACAGAUAACAGUGGUGACAGCACCAUGUUCUUCAGUGAUGGCGGGCAGUGAUGGAGGGUGCCAUGUGAAGCUCUCCAGAGAUAACAGUGGUGACAGCAUCAUGUUCUUCAGUGAUGUUGGGCAGUGAUGGAGGGUGCCAUGUGAAGCUCUCCAGAGAUAACAGUGGUGACAGCACCAUGUUCUUCAGUGAUGGCAGGCAGUGAUGGAGGGUGCCAUGUGAAGCUCUCCAGAGAUAACAGUGGUGACAGCACCAUGUUCUUCAGUGAUGUUGGGCAGUGAUGGAGGGUGCCAUGUGAAGCUCUCCACAGAUAACAGUGGUGACAGCACCAUGUUCUUCAGUGAUGUUGGGCAGUGAUGGAGGGUGCCAUGUGAAGCUCUCCAGAGAUAACAGUGGUGACAGCACCAUGUUCUUCAGUGAUGUUAGGCAGUGAUGGAGGGUGCCAUGUGAAGCUCUCCAGAGAUAACAGUGGUGACAGCACCAUGUUCUUCAGUGAUGGCAGGCAGUGAUGGAGGGUGCCAUGUGAAGCUCUCCACAGAUAACAGUGGUGACAGCACCAUGUUCUUCAGUGAUGUUGGGCAGUGAUGGAGGGUGCCAUGUGAAGCUCUCCACAGAUAACAGUGGUGACAGCACCAUGUUCUUCAGUGAUGGCGGGGGCCCUCACCAGUCUUCUUCAUUAAGCUUCUGUCUUCCUGCUUCAGGCUGCAAUCAAACAGUUGUUUAGUACCACAUUAAUAUGUUUGGGGCAGAUUGAAUUAUAGCUAACAUAGUAUACUGUUUGAUUGAAUAUUUGAAAGAAUCAAACCUAAACUAACAUACUGUUUGAUUGAAUAUUUGAAAGAAUCAAACCUAAACUAACAUACUGUUUGAUUGAAUAUUUGAAAGAAUCAAACCUAAACUAACAUACUGUUUGAUUGAAUAUUUGAAAGAAUCAAACCUAAACUAACAUACUGUUUGAUUGAAUAUUUGAAAGAAUCAAACCUAAACUAACAUACUGUUUGAUUGAAUAUUUGAAAGAAUCAAACCUAAACUAACAUACUGUUUGAUUGAAUAUUUGAAAGAAUCAAACCUAAACUAACAUACUGUUUGAUUGAAUAUUUGAAAGAAUCAAACCUAAACUAACCAGGUUACCCCAUUCCCAAGCUUGCAGGGUAGGCACUGAAAAAGGUAGAUUGAAAAACAGAACUGUAUUACUAACCUAAAUGAAUGUAUUAUUCUAGUGUUUGUGUUAGAGAUAGGUUUACUGUUCAACAGGAUGAGGUAGGGUUGUUAAGUUUGAAAAUGGCUCUUAAUGAAGCAGUAAUAGGUUACUAUUUUGUCUGUGAUUGUUAAAUUAUUAGCAUGUGUAAAAGCUACAACUGCUAUAUGCUACAUAGUAAUAUUCUAUGUAUCUAUAUAUCUUUCCCUUUGCCCUAAUUAAAGGUUAAAUUCAAUAUCAAUGAAAAAUUUCUGCUCUUAUAAAUUGUCAAAAUGAGUUGUAGCCUAUUCCUAACUGAUCAGAAUUAGUUUGCAUCCUGAGAACACGUGAUUGAUGUAGUAUUUGUUUCAAUAGGCUAGAAAUUUAUCAUUUAAAUCAACACAAGGUUAUGUUAGCCAGUCAUUCAUUACAUGUGUUUUUCUUUAGUUUGAGACAAGGUUAUGUUAGCCAGUCAUUCAUUACACAUGUUUUUCUUUAGUUUGACACAAGGUUAUGUUAGCCAGUCAUUCAUUACACAUGUUUUUCUUUAGUUUGAGACAAGGUUAUGUUAGCCAGUCAUUCAUUACACAUGUUUUUCUUUAGUUUGAGACAAGGUUAUGUUAGCCAGUCAUUCAUUACAUGUGUUUUUCUUUAGUUUGAGACAAGGUUAUGUUAGCCAGUCAUUCAUUACAUGUGUUUUUCUUUAGUUUGAGACAAGGUUAUGUUAGCCAGUCAUUCAUUACAUGUGUUUUUCUUUAGUUUGAGACAAGGUUAUGUUAGCCAGUCAUUCAUUACAUGUGUUUUUCUUUAGUUUGAGACAAGGUUAUGUUAGCCAGUCAUUCAUUACAUAUGUUUUUCUUUAGUUUGAGACAAGGUUAUGUUAGCCAGUCAUUCAUUACAUUCAUUUGAGUAGCUUCCAUAACCUUCUCUCGAUGGACAGAAGUGACAAAACAAAUGACUAACAUAACCUGGUCUCAGUGUUACAAAGGGCAGAGCAAGUUAAUAGUGACAGAAAUAAACAUUACAAAAGAUUUAACAAGCGAAGGGACAGGAGCACGCAUUGCUACAGAUGACACAGUAACCCAAGUGUGAUAGGGAUUGUAAUGUUACGGAAGAUAUGGUGACGUAAGUGACGAGGACCGAGCGUUACAGACAGCGUAGUGACUUAAGCAUGACAGGGAUUGUAGAAAGAUUGUAGAAUGAUUGUAUAAAAAAAGAUACAGUAACUCAGCAGUGACAUAGAUACGUAAUGUUACUGAGGACAUGGUAACUUACGUAUGAUGAGGAUCGUAAUGUUGCAGAUGAACUAACAAUAAUUUAAGUGUCAGAAUUCAUCAUGUUACAAAUGGCAUAUUAAUUUUAGUGGCAUGGAUCAGAAUGUUACAAAAUAUAUACGUAUAUUAAGCGGCACGGAUCGUAAUGUUACAAGAUACAUGGUACCCACACCGAUAUGUAUACGUAAUGUUAAAUGACAUAGUAACUUAAAUUAAAUGGAUAUAUUACGCUAAAAAAGCUUAGUAGCCAAAGUGACAUGUAUACGUAAUGUUACAAAUGGCAUAGUAACAAAUAAAAUGGAUACGUAAUGUUAACAAGACUUACUAACCGCAGUGAAUGAAUGCGUAAUGUUAACAAAACUUAGUAACCAAAGUGACAUAUACAUAAUGUUAGGGAUGACACAGUAACUUAAAUAUAAUGGUUAGUAAUGUUAACAAGACUUAGUAACCAAAGUGACAUAUACGUAAUGUUAGGGAUGACACAGUAACUUAAAUAUAAUGGCUAGUAAUGUUAACAAGACUUAGUAACCAAAGUGACAUAUACAUAAUGUUAGGGAUGACACAGUAACUUAAAUAUAAUGGUUAGUAAUGUUAACAAGACUUAGUAACCAAAGUGACAUAUACGUAAUGUUAGGGAUGACACAGUAACUUAAAUAUAAUGGCUAGUAAUGUUCAUAGCUGGGUGUUAUCGCGAUAAGUUAUCGUGAUACUUUAUCGCUGAUAACAAAAUCGGGUUAUCAGCCAUCCGUUACUUAAUUAUUUAAAUAUAUAUCAGUAUCUUCGUUACUUUUGUAGCCAAACUUGCGAUAAUCGCUACUUUUUUCCGCCUCAGGAAAAAAAAAGUCUCCUCCCUACUGCGCAUGCGUGGCCCGGGUGCCCGGUGUUG
Long non-coding RNA from Eriocheir sinensis (Chinese mitten crab), 3889 nucleotides. RefSeq lists it as uncharacterized. Lineage: Eukaryota; Metazoa; Arthropoda; Malacostraca; Decapoda; Varunidae. The transcript has 4 exons. The record is from RefSeq and is a predicted model, not a curated record.